CCUGGUGGCUAUGGCGAGGGGCAAACACCCGAUCCCAUCCCGAACUCGGCCGUGAAAACCCUCAGCGCCAAUGGUACUGCGUCUCAAGGCGCGGGAGAGUCGGUCGCUGCCAGGU
Molecule: ribosomal RNA, 115 nt
Filed under: Elioraea tepida
Lineage: Bacteria; Pseudomonadati; Pseudomonadota; Alphaproteobacteria; Acetobacterales; Elioraeaceae
Source: RNAcentral